Molecule: ribosomal RNA, 516 nt
Filed under: uncultured bacterium
Lineage: Bacteria
Description: partial 16S ribosomal RNA
Rfam family: Bacterial small subunit ribosomal RNA
Source: RNAcentral
ACUCAAAUGAAUUGACGGGGACUCGCACAAGCGGUGGAUCAUGUGGUUUAAUUCGAUGAUACGCGAAGAACCUUACCAGGGCUAGAAAUCUACGGGAAGACCCUUCCAAAAGAGGGUCGUCUUCGGACUCGUAGACAGGUGAUGCAUGGCUGUCGUCAGCUCGUGGCUUGAGCUGUUCGGUUAAGUCCGCUAACGAGCGCAACCCCCAUCGUAUGUUUUAUAUGUCAUACGAGACUGCCCCCUCAGUGCACAGAAAGCAAUUUGCUUUGUGAAUACUGAGGGGGGAGGAAGGCGGGGACGACGCCAAGUCAGCAUGUCCCUUGAUGCCCUGGGCUACACACAUGAUACAAUGGGUGAUACAGUAGGCUGCGACGGGGUAACCCUGAGCCAAUCCUCAAAAUCAUCCUCAGUUCGGAUUGAGGUCUGCAACUCGACCUCAUGAAGUUGGAAUCGCUAGUAAUGGCAGGUCAGCACACUGCCGUGAAUACGUUCUCGAGUCUUGUACACACCGCCCGU